AAGUAGGAUUUGGCAACGCCUAUUUGGUCAUCUAAGUGAACAUUCAGUAAAACGUAAAAAUGGCUUCCAUGGCUGCGCAACUGCUCGAUGAGUUAAUGGGAAGGAAUCGAAAUGCCCUUCCAACAGAUCGAACGAAAGAAUUAUCUUAUAAUGACGCUGAGGUUUGUAGGUACUACAUGGUUCGGUUUUGUCCACACGAUUUGUUCCAUAACACGAAAGCAGAUUUAGGCCCAUGCCCCAACCUUCACGAUGAAGCUGUGCGACAGAAAUACUUGAACGAGGCACCAUCAUAUACAAAGACAAAGUUUGAAGAUGAGUUUCUCAAAUACUGUCGAUCUAUGCUGAAUGAAGUUGAGCGUAAAAUCCAAAAGGGUGAACAAAGACUUGCCCAAUCACAGCUAGCAAAACAAGAAGCUGGUGCUAAUCCUAAAACUAAAGCUGAAGAACAAAUUGCUUUGUUAACUGAUAAGAUAAGUCACCUGGUUAAAGAAGCUGAACGUCUAGGUUUUGAAGGAAACAUUGAACAAGCACAAGGCUUAUUAAAACUUAGUGACCAAUUUAAAAGUGAACGAGAAGCUCUAAAGAAAGGAGAAGGCCUCUCGUUUGCAACUGAAUUGAUGUUAGAAAAGCAAAUGGAAGUCUGCAAAGUAUGUGGAGCUUUUCUAAUUGUUGGUGAUGCUCCAGCUCGCCUUGAUGAUCACAUGCAAGGAAAACAGCAUGUGGGUUACCAAAAAUUGCGAUCGGCAGUAGAUGAAAUCACGGAGAGUCGAGAAAAGGCUCGUCAAGAUAGAGAAAUGCAACGCCAGAAAGAAGCCGAAGAUCGCCGCGGAAGGCGUCAUGAUGACGAUUCACGUCGCCAACCUGGAAAAGACCGUGAAGGUAGUAGCCGUAGGCGCAGCCGUUCCCGCUCUCCAAGACAUCGGUCAUCAAACCAUCACGGCGAUCGCCGAGAUCGUAGCGAUAAAAGUGAUCGUCAUCGGGGAGAACACGAACGCCACCGAGACAAAGAUCGUGGGCACAGCAGAGAUCAUCGAGACAGAAAACGAGAGGAUAGACCUCGUGAUCGUGAUCGCUCAGCACACAACGGUUUAAAGGAGAAUGGUGGAGGGAUCAUAUAGCUAUUACGUGUAGGAGAUGGAGCAGCAGUACGAAGUCAAAAAGUCAUCUAAGAUGAGGUAGCUUCAUCGUAUUUCAGGUCCGGACUAAAAAAAAUGUUGAAGCCUUGUUGUCAGACGCUCAUUACGGAUCCCAGUGGGCGUCUCAAUUUUUCCCUUCGCCUCAAGUCGCUGCUGCUGUCAAGCAAGGUGACACAUUAUUUGUAUUCCUUUUCUGUUCUUCCUCGAGUUCUUUCUCGCUCCUACAACUGAUCUUUUUCAUCAACAAAGCAUUCAUUUUCUUGUGGAACCUUACAGUUUAUUUUUUUUUAUUUUAUUUUUAUUUUGGAAUGUUUCUACCUUCUUUAAAUGUCAUUUGAUUGCAUUAUACCACUACACAUUCCUCAGUUUGAAUUAAAACUUGCUUCUGUGUGACAGAUAAUGCAUUAGUCUAAAGUUGCUUAAAUACACGUUAGUCUUCAACCAGA
RNAcentral lists this unclassified non-coding RNA (1582 nucleotides) under Daphnia magna. RNAcentral describes it as "luc7-like protein 3, transcript variant X3". The record is from RNAcentral. Lineage: Eukaryota; Metazoa; Arthropoda; Branchiopoda; Diplostraca; Daphniidae.